GCUGUCUAGUAUAAGCAUUAUACCGUGAACUGCGAAUGGCUCAUUAAAUCAGUUAUCGUUUAUUUGAUAAUACCUUACUACUUGGAUAACCGUGGUAAUUCUAGAGCUAAUACAUGCUGAAAAUCCCGACUUCGGAAGGGAUGUGUUUAUUAGAUAAAAAACCAAUGCCCUUCGGGGCUCUUUGGUGAUUCAUGAUAACUUUACGGAUCGCAUAGCCUUGCGCUGGCGACGGUUCAUUCAAAUUUCUGCCCUAUCAACUUUCGAUGGUAAGGUAUUGGCUUACCAUGGUUUCAACGGGUAACGGGGAAUUAGGGUUCGAUUCCGGAGAGGGAGCCUGAGAAACGGCUACCACAUCCAAGGAAGGCAGCAGGCGCGCAAAUUACCCAAUCCCGACACGGGGAGGUAGUGACAAUAAAUACUGAUACAGGGCUCUUUUGGGUCUUGUAAUUGGAAUGAGUACAAUUUAAACCUCUUAACGAGGAACAAUUGGAGGGCAAGUCUGGUGCCAGCAGCCGCGGUAAUUCCAGCUCCAAUAGCGUAUAUUAAAGUUGUUGCAGUUAAAAAGCUCGUAGUUGAAACUUGGGCCUGGCUGGCGGGUCCGCCUCACCGCGUGCACUCGUCCGGCCGGGCCUUCCUUCUGAAGAACCUCAUGCCCUUCACUGGGCGUGUUGGGGAAUCAGGACUUUUACUUUGAAAAAAUUAGAGUGUUCAAAGCAGGCCUUUGCUCGAAUACGUUAGCAUGGAAUAAUAAAAUAGGGCGUGCGUUUCUAUUUUGUUGGUUUCUAGAGACGCCGCAAUGAUUAACAGGAACAGUCGGGGGCAUCAGUAUUCAGUUGUCAGAGGUGAAAUUCUUGGAUUUACUGAAGACUAACUACUGCGAAAGCAUUUGCCAAGGAUGUUUUUCAUUAAUCAGUGAACGAAGUUAGGGGAUCGGAGGACGAUCAGAUACCGUCGUAGUCUAACCGUAACUAUGCGACUAGGGAUCGGGCGAUGUCUUUUUGUGACUCGCUCGGCACUACGAGAAAUCAAGUUUUGGUUCUGGGGGGAUUAUGGUCGCAGGCUGACCUAGAUGUUACGUCGACAAAGCAUAUCUGUGUUCUUUUUC
RNAcentral lists this ribosomal RNA (1105 nucleotides) under Curvularia affinis. RNAcentral's name for it is "SSU rRNA". It matches the Rfam family "Eukaryotic small subunit ribosomal RNA". Lineage: Eukaryota; Fungi; Ascomycota; Dothideomycetes; Pleosporales; Pleosporaceae. The record is from RNAcentral.